RNAcentral lists this ribosomal RNA (607 nucleotides) under Gatesona chaetophora serninensis. RNAcentral's name for it is "Allolobophora chaetophora serninensis partial large subunit ribosomal RNA". It matches the Rfam family "Bacterial large subunit ribosomal RNA", at positions 1858 to 2826 of the family's 2925-position model. The record is from RNAcentral. Lineage: Eukaryota; Metazoa; Annelida; Clitellata; Crassiclitellata; Lumbricidae.
CCUGCCCAGUGACUAGUGUUCAACGGCCGCGGUAUCCUAACCGUGCAAAGGUAGCAUAAUCAUUUGCCCAUUAAUUGUGGGCUAGAAUGAAAGGACCAACGAAAUAAAAGCUGUCUCUAUAAGAUAUGUAAAAAUUAAUCUCUAACUGAAGAUUGUUAGAUAGAGUCGAAGGACAAGAAGACCCUAUAGAGCUUUAUUAAAACAGGAAUACAUUUUUCCUACUAAAAUUCGGUUGGGGCGACCGGGGAAAAUUUUAAUCAUCCCUUAAAAUAAGAUAAAUAAAUCUCAUAAAAGACCCUUAAAUAAGAUCAUAAAAAUAAGCUACCUUAGGGAUAACAGGCUAAUCCCACUAAAGAGUCCUUAUCAAUAGUGGGGGUUGGCACCUCGAUGUUGGCUUAGGGAAACUAUGUGGCGCAAAAGUCACAUAAAGAUGGUUUGUUCAACCAAUAAAUCCCUACAUGAGCUGAGUUCAGACCGGCGUAAGCCAGGUUAGUUUCUAUCCUCGAUAUAUAAAUCCUACUUACAGUACGAAAGGACCUAAGCAAGGGUAAUAUUUACCCAAAAUGAAUUAAUAUAAAAAAUGUUAAAAAUCAUUAUCUAUAUCCUA